Molecule: long non-coding RNA, 1049 nt
Organism: Nematostella vectensis (starlet sea anemone)
Lineage: Eukaryota; Metazoa; Cnidaria; Anthozoa; Actiniaria; Edwardsiidae
Exons: 2
Source: RefSeq, a predicted model, not a curated record
UAAAAAUCCUGAAAGAACAAAAUGUUUAAUAUAGAUUCAAGUAAACGUUCUAUAAAAUCCAUCGACUUUAGUUUGGUUUUUGUGAAGUUAUUAGCUUUCAAAGUCAGAGCAAGCGUAAUUCUCAGUCCACUUUGCCGUGGUUCCCAAUUGUUCAACCGUAGGCCCACUCUAUUUCAUAUAUUCAUAAAUUCUUAUUUUGUUAUUUGAGAGUGUUUUUGUACUUCACCCGCUAAAACCUGAACAGAUGGAAAUUUGUUUACUUAAGCUAUGUUCUUGUUAACUCUUCCAUCCUAAAUCAGCACAACUAAUUCAAAACAAACGAUAUUCCUGGAUUGAGUUUGCUCUUAGGGCUGGACCCUUCACAGAAUGUAGUUGUAGAAUAUCAUCUGAAGGCUGGAUGACACUUGCUUGUUGGUUUUUCCUUAGGUUUUAAUUUAACUUUUGGAAUGUGACAGGUCCAACAUCUAUUUUAUUUGUAUUAGUGCCUUCACAUAUGGAAAAAGGGUGCCCUUUACUUUGCUCCUAUUUCUUGAGUGACCUACUGUAUGGAGAACUUGGCAGUUGUUAAUGAAAUACACCAGUACAAGCCAAGUAGCUUGGAAGGAUUUCAUGAAAAAGGUGGACUCAUGUAUCAAGGAUUUUUAUGACUGCUUCAAGCUGCAAAAGAGUAAGUGGAUUUAAAAGACAAUUCUAAUACUACUAUUUUUGCUUAGGAAUAUAUUUUUUAGAGAAAAGAUAAAGGCAAGAUAAAAAUUACUUUCUUGCCCAGUCAUAAUGAGAUAGGAAUUUAGCAUUUUAUAAAUUGUUCAAAGGGGAGUGAUGCUCGAAUUGUAUAGUACAAGGUUGUUAUUAAAAUAUGUUAAGGGGUUUGAAAUAUACAGUACCGAUGUUUGGAAAACAGUUACAUGUAGAUCAAUUUGCAAAAAAAAAUCAUGUAAGACAUAUUAUUUAAUAAAUAACAGGUAUUCUAUUACAAAUAUCACCAUGGACCUUUUGGUAAAAAUUGAAGCUACAAUCCACAGAGCAUAAAUGCUUUAAAAAACGAUAGA